CCUACGGGGGGCUGCAGUGGGGAAUAUUGGACAAUGGGGGCAACCCUGAUCCAGCCAUGCCGCGUGUGUGAAGAAGGCCCUCGGGUUGUAAAGCACUUUCAGUGAGGAAGGACGCCUGGUGGUUAAUACCCAUCAGGAAAGACAUCACCCACAGAAGAAGCACCGGCUAACUCCGUGCCAGCAGCCGCGGUAAUACGGAGGGUGCGAGCGUUAAUCGGAAUUACUGGGCGUAAAGCGCGCGUAGGUGGCUUGAUAAGCCGGUUGUGAAAGCCCCGGGCUCAACCUGGGAACGGCAUCCGGAACUGUCAAGCUAGAGUGCAGGAGAGGAAGGUAGAAUUCCCGGUGUAGCGGUGAAAUGCGUAGAGAUCGGGAGGAAUACCAGUGGCGAAGGCGGCCUUCUGGACUGACACUGACACUGAGGUGCGAAAGCGUGGGUAGCAAACAGGAUUAGAUACCCUGGUAGUC
This 465-nucleotide ribosomal RNA is filed under the name Vreelandella stevensii. RNAcentral describes it as "partial 16S ribosomal RNA". It matches the Rfam family "Bacterial small subunit ribosomal RNA", at positions 338 to 795 of the family's 1533-position model. Lineage: Bacteria; Pseudomonadati; Pseudomonadota; Gammaproteobacteria; Oceanospirillales; Halomonadaceae. The record is from RNAcentral.